UGCAGUCGAGCGCGGGAGCUGACUGAAUCCUUCGGGAGGACGUGAGUGGAACGAGCGGCGGACGGGUGAGUAACACGUGGGCAACCGGCCUGUAAGACUGGGAUAACUCCGGGAAACCGGGGCUAAUACCGGAUAUUACUUUGGUUCAUAGGAACCGAAUUGGAAAGGUGGCGCACGCUACCACUUACAGAUGGGCCCGCGGUGCAUUGCCUAGUUGGGGAGGUAACGGCUCACCAAGGCAACGAUGCAUAGCCGACCUGAGAGGGUGAUCGGCCACACUGGGACUGAGACACGGCCCAGACUCCUACGGGAGGCAGCGGUAGGGAAUCUUCCGCAAUGGACGAAAGUCUGACGGAACAACGCCGCGUGAACGAAGAAGGUUUUCGGAUCGUAAAGUUCUGUUGUUAGGGAAGAACAAGUACCGUUCGAAUAGGGCGGUACCUUGACGGUACCUAUCGAGGAAGCCCCGGCUAACUACGUGCCGGCAGCCGCGGUAAUACGUAGGGGGCAAGCGUUGUCCUGAAUUAUUGGGCGUAAAGCUCGCGUAGGCGGUUUCUUAAGUCUGAUGUGAAAUCUUGCGGCUCACCGCAGCGGUCAUUGGAAACUGGGGAACUGAGUACUGAGAGGAAAUCGGAUUCCACGUGUAGCGGUGAAUGCCUAGAGAUGUGGAGGAACACCAGUGGCGACUGCGGCUCUCUGGUCUGUAACUGACGCUCAGUGCGAUCGUGGGAGCGAACCGAUACAUACCCGGUAUCCACGCGUAACGAUGAUUGCUACGUGUUAGCGGGUCUCCCCCCUUAGUGCUGCAUUAACGCAUAAGCAUCCGCCUGGGAGUACGGCGCAGGCUGAACUCAAAGACUGACGGGGCCGCAAAUCGUGAGCAGUGGUUAUUCCAGCACGCAAGAACUUACAGUCUGACUC
Molecule: ribosomal RNA, 921 nt
Filed under: uncultured bacterium
Lineage: Bacteria
Description: bacterial SSU rRNA
Rfam family: Bacterial small subunit ribosomal RNA
Source: RNAcentral